Anguilla rostrata (American eel) is the source of this 701-nucleotide long non-coding RNA. RefSeq lists it as uncharacterized. The record is from RefSeq and is a predicted model, not a curated record. Lineage: Eukaryota; Metazoa; Chordata; Actinopteri; Anguilliformes; Anguillidae. The transcript has 2 exons.
AGUCAGGUGUGCCAAAUUAGGGUUUAAAUGAGAACCUACUGGACGGUCGAUCUCCAGGAAGAGGGCUGGGCAGCUCUUCUCACUGCAGUCUACUGGGCAGCACUUAGACGCUUCGUGGUAAGAUCAGAGGCGUGGUUUCCCUGAUGCAUGCUCAGAGGAGAGGGGUCUUUACGAGGUCAAACGCAGCAGAUGUUCGUGGCCAGAAGUCUCGAAGCCCAGCUGCCCUGGCAGUUUGGAGUCUGGCAGCCCCCCCGGCCCCCCCCCCCCCCCCUGUCGCUGUGACGUGAUUAAAGCGCUAGUCAGUUUGGACAGAUCCAGCACCCCCGCGGCGGGCACCACCCCGUAAGCGAGACAUCACGACUGAGCGGUCAUUCCGCUGGGUCUGUCUCCGGACUCCUCCCAGGCAAAGCCGUCAACGCAGAGCCGCUUACUGGACCCCUGUUCAUGUUCGCUGUCUUUUUGCCAUCAGUUCUAUAGUGGGUCUCUCCAUUAACCUCUGGUUUGUGUCCGCGUGGGUUUCCUCCGGGGUUUCCAAAGACAUGCAGGUGGGCUCAUCGCCGUGGCGACUGCUUCCCACAAUAAACACAGCUUUGGCCGAUCUGAGCAUUUUGGUAUCCAUAUUAUUUAAACACAUUAUUGCUCUUAGAUAGAUGCUGUCAGUUGCAACUCAAUUUGAAAUAAACAGCAGUUGUAGUUACUUA